RNAcentral lists this ribosomal RNA (253 nucleotides) under uncultured bacterium. RNAcentral describes it as "partial 16S ribosomal RNA". It matches the Rfam family "Bacterial small subunit ribosomal RNA", at positions 524 to 776 of the family's 1533-position model. The record is from RNAcentral.
UACGAAGGGGGCUAGCGUUGCUCGGAAUUACUGGGCGUAAAGCGCUCGCAGGCGGUUUGUCGCGUCGGGCGUGAAAGACCCCGGCUCAACUGGGGAGGGUCGUGCGAUACGGGCGAACUGGAGGCCAGUAGGGGGAUGCGGAAUUCCGGGUGUAGUGGUGGAAUGCGUAGAGAUCCGGAGGAACACCAGCGGCGAAGGCGGCAUCCUGGACUGGUCCUGACACUCAGGAGCGAAAGCGUGGGGAGCGAUCCGG